This 330-nucleotide long non-coding RNA is filed under the name Calidris pygmaea (Spoon-billed sandpiper). Its description in RNAcentral is "lncRNA (ENSCPGG00000000488.1)". The record is from RNAcentral. Lineage: Eukaryota; Metazoa; Chordata; Aves; Charadriiformes; Scolopacidae.
UUAUGAAUUAUUGGCCUCCUACUUGUGAAAGAAAUCUAGCACUGUCCUCACCGUUUACAGAAAAAAAAGACUGAACUGAGGAAGAGUGGAAAAAUAAUGACAAUAUUUCUUUCCUACAUAAGAAAAAGGUUUUGCCUAUAAUAAUUUCACCAAUCAAGACAUGCAGACUUCUGUCCGAUGCUAUGAAAAUUAACCGAGGCACAUUAACUGCAGGAAAUCUUCAAAGGGCUCCUCCUACAGAUGUUCUGAACGCGGCUGCACCCCGGCAAUUUUUUCCUGCGCCCAGGUCUUGAAAACUAGAGCUCGGGCACUUCUGGACCAGCCUUUUUC